This 253-nucleotide ribosomal RNA is filed under the name uncultured bacterium. Its description in RNAcentral is "partial 16S ribosomal RNA". It matches the Rfam family "Bacterial small subunit ribosomal RNA", at positions 524 to 776 of the family's 1533-position model. The record is from RNAcentral.
UACGAAGGGGGCUAGCGUUGCUCGGAAUCACUGGGCGUAAAGCGCGCGUAGGCGGAUUGUUAAGUCAGGGGUGAAAUCCUGGAGCUCAACUCCAGAACUGCCUUUGAUACUGGCGAUCUUGAGUCCGGGAGAGGUGAGUGGAACUGCGAGUGUAGAGGUGAAAUUCGUAGAUAUUCGGAAGAACACCAGUGGCGAAGGCGGCUCACUGGCCCGGUACUGACGCUGAUGUGCGAAAGCGUGGGGAGCAAACAGG